This 88-nucleotide unclassified non-coding RNA is filed under the name plant metagenome. Its description in RNAcentral is "partial contains 5.8S ribosomal RNA, internal transcribed spacer 2, and large subunit ribosomal RNA". The record is from RNAcentral.
CGCCCGAUCGAGGCGCCCAACGACUUCACUAUCAGCAAUGCCGUCCAGACGGACGCGGCCAUUAGCUCGGGCAACUCCGGGGGUCCUC